UGAAACAAGGGAAAACAUUGGCAGCAGUAAAGAAUUUUAUGCAAUAUACGAAAGUAAGACAUAGGCAGAACCUUUUAACCUGUCAAAUUAAGUGCCAGCAGACGCGGUGAAACUUAAGGGUUUGUUUUUUAGAAAAAGCAGAAAGCGUGUAAAGGUAAAACAUUUAAAAUAAAUAGAAUUUUUUUAGUAAUAGUGCAAUAUUAAAAGAAAAAAAAGAAUUUUUUAUGUGAAGACAAUUUAUUUUUUUUCUUUAACACGAAGGUUCUGGGAGCAAACAGGAUUAGAGACCCUGGUAGUCGAUACAGUAAAAGAAAGUCGCUUGAGUAGUACGGUCGCAAGAUUAAAAUUCAAAAAACUUGGCUGUUCAUUGUUAUUUAGAGGAGCGUGUUGCUUAAUUCGAUAAUCCGCGAGUUACCUUACCAAAACUAGCUUUUUCAGGUGUUGCAUGGCCGUCGUCAAUUUAUGUUUGAUACAAUAGAUUAAACCCUAGAAGGGUUGAAGUCAGGUAUUAUUGCCUUUAUGUUUUGGGGUUAAAUGCGCUACAUUUUUUUUUUAAUAAAAAAAAAGAGUUCGGAUUGUCUUUAAAAGAGGAUGAUGAAGUUGGAUUUAAUAGUAAUUGAAAAGUAGAGCGUUUCAAUGAAUUUGCCGCAAUGUUAGUACAAAUUGCCCGUCGCCUCUGCUGAGGGAAACAAAGUAGAGUAAGUCGUAACAUAGU
RNAcentral lists this ribosomal RNA (715 nucleotides) under Paraechinophyllia variabilis. Its description in RNAcentral is "partial 12S ribosomal RNA". It matches the Rfam family "Bacterial small subunit ribosomal RNA", at positions 320 to 1497 of the family's 1533-position model. The record is from RNAcentral. Lineage: Eukaryota; Metazoa; Cnidaria; Anthozoa; Scleractinia; Lobophylliidae.